Molecule: ribosomal RNA, 407 nt
Filed under: uncultured bacterium
Lineage: Bacteria
Description: partial 16S ribosomal RNA
Rfam family: Bacterial small subunit ribosomal RNA
Source: RNAcentral
AUUGAACGCUGGCGGCAGGCCUAACACAUGCAAGUCGAGCGGAGCGGCGGACGGGUGUGUAAUGCCUAGGAAUCUGCCUGGUAGUGGGGGAUAACGACCGGAAACGGGCGCUAAUAACGCACACUAUCAGAUGUGCCUAGGUCGGAUUAGCUAGUUGGUGGGGUAAAGGCCUACCAAGGCGCCGAUCCGUAACUGGUCUGAGAGGAUGAUCAGUCACACGGGAACUGGGACACGGUCCAGACUCCUACGUGAGGCAGGAGGGGGGAAUAUUGGGCAAUGGGCGAAAGGCUGAUUCAGCCAUGCCGCGUGUGUGAAGAAGGUCUUCGGAGUGUAAAGCACUUUAAGUUGGGAGGCGUUACCAACAGAAUAAGCACCGGCUAACUUCGUGCCAGCAGCCGCGGUAAUUC